CCUACGGGGGGCUGCAGUAAGGAAUAUUGGUCAAUGGAGGCAACUCUGAACCAGCCAUGCCGCGUGCAGGAAGACGGCCCUAUGGGUUGUAAACUGCUUUUGCACCAGAGAAAACCCGAGUACGUGUACUCGGUUGAUAGUAUGGUGAGAAUAAGCAUCGGCUAACUUCGUGCCAGCAGCCGCGGUAAGACGAAGGAUGCAAGCGUUAUCCGGAUUCAUUGGGUUUAAAGCGGACUGAGGCGGCAGGGUAGAAAUCUCUCGGCUUAACCGAGAAACUGCCAUUGAUACUGUUAGUCUAGAGUAUAGAUGACGUUGGCGGAAUAUGACAUGUAGUGGUGAAAUACUUAGAUAUGUCAUAGAACACCGAUUGCGAAGGCAGCUAACGAAACUAUAACUGACGCUGAGGCACGAAAGUGCGGGGAUCAAACAGGAUUAGAUACCCGUGUAGUC
RNAcentral lists this ribosomal RNA (450 nucleotides) under uncultured bacterium. RNAcentral describes it as "partial 16S ribosomal RNA". It matches the Rfam family "Bacterial small subunit ribosomal RNA", at positions 338 to 795 of the family's 1533-position model. The record is from RNAcentral.